AGCAGCCGCGGUAAUUCCAGCUCCAAUAGCGUAUAUUAAAGUUGUUGCAGUUAAAGAGCUCGUAGUUGAAUUUCGGGAUUGACACAUCGGUCGUGCCUUAAGGGGUAUGAACUGGUGUAGUCAAUUUCUCACCUUCUGGAGAACCGCGAUGCCCUUAAUUGGGUGUCGCGGGGAACCAGGACCUUUACUUUGAAAAAUUAGAGUGUUUAAAGCAGGCAUUUUGCUUGAAUACAUUAGCAUGGAAUAAUAAAAUAGGACGGCAUGAUUCUAUUUUGUUGGUUUCUAGGAUCACCGUAAUGAUUAAUAGGGAUAGUUGGGGGCAUUAGUAUUCAAUUGUCAGAGGUGAAAUUCUUGGAUUUAUUGAAGACUAACUACUGCGAAAGCAUUUGCCAAGGAUGUUUUCAUUAAUCAAGAACGAAAGUUAGGGAUCGAGGACGAUCAGAUACCGUCGUAGUCUUAACCAUAAACUAUGCCGACUAGGAAUCAGACGAUGUUAAUUUUUAAUGUACUUCGUUUGGCA
This 520-nucleotide unclassified non-coding RNA is filed under the name uncultured Entrophospora. Its description in RNAcentral is "SSU rRNA". It matches the Rfam family "Eukaryotic small subunit ribosomal RNA", at positions 569 to 1085 of the family's 1831-position model. Lineage: Eukaryota; Fungi; Glomeromycota; Glomeromycetes; Entrophosporales; Entrophosporaceae. The record is from RNAcentral.